UUGAGGUCCAAGUUAACCUAAAUCUAUAAAUAGAGAGAGUAACCCUUAUUUUUGUAAUGAAGGGAAUAUAGUAUUCAUAAUACUUGUAAUUCACUGUAUUUUGCAAUUGCAAAGUGAAUAAGAAGUUUAAAACUCUGCAGAAUUUAAUUCUUCUUCUCCUUCAUCGUUCUUUACACUCUUUCUUUCUCCAUUGUUCUUCUCUUUUCAUUGCUAUUGUGUGAGUAAUAACAAUUUUGUUCAUCAAGAUUGGUUGAAAAUCUCCAU
Molecule: long non-coding RNA, 264 nt
Filed under: Lathyrus oleraceus (garden pea)
Lineage: Eukaryota; Viridiplantae; Streptophyta; Magnoliopsida; Fabales; Fabaceae
Description: Pisum sativum (pea) long non-coding RNA (PSAT_LNC020122)
Source: RNAcentral